ACGAGCGUUGAAAAGCUCGGGGAUGACUUGUGGGUAGCGGUGAAAUUCCAAUCGAGCCCGGAGAUAGCUGGUUCUCCCCGAAAUAGCUUUAGGGCUAGCCCCAAGGUGAGAGAUACGGAGGUAGAGCACUGAAUGUCCUAGGGAGUAUUGCACCUACCGAAGACUAUCAAACUCCGAAUGCCGUCAUCUUAUACUUGGGCGUCAGACUGUGGGUGAUAAGAUUCAUAG
Molecule: ribosomal RNA, 228 nt
Filed under: Clostridioides difficile
Lineage: Bacteria; Bacillati; Bacillota; Clostridia; Peptostreptococcales; Peptostreptococcaceae
Description: partial 23S ribosomal RNA
Rfam family: Bacterial large subunit ribosomal RNA
Source: RNAcentral